Molecule: long non-coding RNA, 1148 nt
Filed under: Heterocephalus glaber (naked mole-rat)
Lineage: Eukaryota; Metazoa; Chordata; Mammalia; Rodentia; Bathyergidae
Description: lncRNA (ENSHGLG00000026366.2)
Source: RNAcentral
CUGUUCCCCUCGCGGCCCCGCCUCUCCCUGCUCCCCAAGCUUGGAAGCUGCGCCGCCCCCUGUGUCCCAGCGUGGCAUGGGGGCGUCAGGAUGCCAGCAUUGCCUGCUUCCGGUUCCUCUCCUCUGAAGACCACAGGACGCCCGCUGGCCUCUUCCUUGUCCUCUGUAUCUCUGUUCUACCCGCAGCAGUAAGACACCAAUUGCCAAGUAUGCAUUACGUCUAUCUUAUAUUAUACAAUCUCCUGAAUUAUAUUACUUGGUUAUUUAAAGACCACCUUUACAGAAACAAGUGGCCAAAGAUGAAACUGAGAGACGAGGCUAAGAAAGGAAAGGGAAAUGAACUGGAAGAUCCACAAACCAGUGGUGAUUGCUGCGUUUCUGCGUCUCUCCUCUGUUCUCUUCACCUGGCAGCACUGUGUCUUGCACUUUUGGGAGCCGCUACGCUGUCUCCCUCCAUCCCUGCUUCCACCAGUUGAUAGACUGUCUCCUAACGUGCGUGGACUUUGAUCUGCACUUUGACCCUCCUACGUUUGCUCACCUCUGCCCAUCUUAUGCCCGCCCCAGGUGACCAAGUUUAGCCCACAGGAGACAGCUCUGGAAAGUUGCAAAGCAAGAGGAUGUCUCUAAACAAAUACAAUUCCUUAGCAGCAGCUCUUGAAGAAAAGGGUUUAUAACAGAAUCCCUCAACAAAUAACUCAGGAUAAUUCUAAGGUGACUCAGUGAGAUAAAAAGACAGUCUCUAUCUCUGUCUAGAAAGGCAUUAGUCCCAUAAGAAAAUCAUCAAAAUCCCUACAAUAUUUUUACAUGAAAAAUGAACUCAGACCCUGCACCAAUAAUAGAUGGUGAGUAAAUGCGGAAGCUGAUCAUGCCAAGUGUUUCCUUGGAAGAAAGGGAAGAAGAGACUGAUUACAUUCACGGCUGCUUUUAUUCUGGACUGGCACUAUCAGUGAAUUCCAAGAAAAACACAACCUACAACAGCAGAAUUGCUUUGCUCAUAAUCCUGCGAGUCAGAUUGGGCUGAAAGCAUGGCAACGUAUUUUUGCAACUUUCCCAGUCAUCCUGGAAAGAAACGAUGGACAAGCUGUCAGGGCGAAGGGGGGAGCGAGCAGAGGACAGUCUACUCUUGCCUCCAAGCCCAAACCCACAGA